This 229-nucleotide ribosomal RNA is filed under the name uncultured bacterium. RNAcentral's name for it is "partial 16S ribosomal RNA". It matches the Rfam family "Bacterial small subunit ribosomal RNA", at positions 568 to 796 of the family's 1533-position model. The record is from RNAcentral.
UGCGCAGGCGGGGCAAUAAGUCAGUGGUGAAAUCCUGCGGCUUAACCGUAGAACUGCCAUUGAUACUGUUGCCCUUGGGUAUAGUUGAGGUGGGCGGAAUAUGUAAUGUAGCGGUGAAAUGCAUAGAUAUUACAUAGAACACCAAUUGCGAAGGCAGCUCACUAAGCUAUCACUGACGCUGAGGCACGAAAGCGUGGGGAGCGAACAGGAUUAGAUACCCUGGUAGUCC